AACGAACGCUGGCGGCAUGCCUAACACAUGCAAGUCGAACGAUGCCUUCGGGCAUAGUGGCGCACGGGUGCGUAACGCGUGGGAAUCUGCCUUUCGGUUCGGAAUAACUCAGGGAAACUUGAGCUAAUACCGGAUAACGUCGCAAGACCAAAGAUUUAUCACCGAAAGAUGAGCCCGCGUAGGAUUAGCUAGUUGGUGAGGUAAAGGCUCACCAAGGCGACGAUCCUUAGCUGGUCUGAGAGGAUGAUCAGCCACACUGGGACUGAGACACGGCCCAGACUCCCACGGGAGGAAGCAGGGGGGAUUAUUGAAAAAUGGGGGAAAGCUGAAUACGCCAAUGCCGCGUGAGUAAUGAGGCCUUUGGGGUUGUAAAACUCUUUCACCGGGAAAUAAAAUGGGGAUACGGGGAGAAAAGCCCCCGGCAAACUCCGUC
This 433-nucleotide ribosomal RNA is filed under the name uncultured bacterium. RNAcentral describes it as "partial 16S ribosomal RNA". It matches the Rfam family "Bacterial small subunit ribosomal RNA", at positions 29 to 507 of the family's 1533-position model. The record is from RNAcentral.